GUGCCAGCAGCCGCGGUAAUACGUAGGGACCAAGCGUUGUUCGGAUUUACUGGGCGUAAAGGGCGCGUAGGCGGCAAUUCAAGUCAGUUGUGAAAUCUCCGAGCUUAACUCGGAACGGUCAACUGAUACUGUUUUGCUAGAGUACAGAAGGGGCAAUCGGAAUUCUUGGUGUAGCGGUGAAAUGCGUAGAUAUCAAGAGGAACACCUGAGGUGAAAGACGGGUUGCUGGGCUGAUACUGACGCUGAGGCGCGAAAGCUAGGGUAGCAAACGGGGAUUAGAUACCCCGGUAGUCC
RNAcentral lists this ribosomal RNA (294 nucleotides) under uncultured microorganism. RNAcentral describes it as "partial 16S ribosomal RNA". It matches the Rfam family "Bacterial small subunit ribosomal RNA", at positions 505 to 796 of the family's 1533-position model. The record is from RNAcentral.